CUUCGGCAGAUUUGGUCUGUUUCUAGUGGCGGACGGGUGAGUAACGCGUGGGUAACCUGCCUUAUACAGGGGGAUAACAACCAGAAAUGGUUGCUAAUACCGCAUAAGCGCACAGCAUCGCAUGAUGCAGUGUGAAAAACUCCGGUGGUAUAAGAUGGACCCGCGUUGGAUUAGCUAGUUGGUGAGGUAACGGCCCACCAAGGCGACGAUCCAUAGCCGACCUGAGAGGGUGACCGGCCACAUUGGGACUGAGACACGGCCCAAACUCC
Molecule: ribosomal RNA, 269 nt
Filed under: uncultured Eubacteriales bacterium
Lineage: Bacteria; Bacillati; Bacillota; Clostridia; Eubacteriales
Description: uncultured Clostridiales bacterium partial 16S ribosomal RNA
Rfam family: Bacterial small subunit ribosomal RNA
Source: RNAcentral